Olea europaea var. sylvestris is the source of this 2024-nucleotide long non-coding RNA. RefSeq lists it as uncharacterized. The transcript is spliced from 3 exons. The record is from RefSeq and is a predicted model, not a curated record. NCBI's taxonomy places the organism in Eukaryota, Viridiplantae, Streptophyta, Magnoliopsida, Lamiales, Oleaceae.
UGGAUGAGGAGGUUUGCUACCUUUUCUCAAAGGUUGGGGAUGAAUAGUGAUAUUACCUAAAAUUAAACAUUGGUACCUUCUUUAUUCAGUCAAAUCACAUACGUAAACUCAAUUAAAUUCUCCGUUCUUUCGUAGUUCGAGUAUUGGACUAAGUAGAUUCAUUCACAGCAAAAGGAAGUGUUAAUCGUCAGUUCGUCACAAUCUUUCCUCGGUGAUUUGAUCUUCUGGGUGUCUUUGCAUCACAGGAAUCUAUCAUCUCGCAGUCAUAAAAGUGACCUUGAAAGGUAUUACAGAGUUUUGAUAUAUGUACCAUACAUCUGAAGACAAGUAUGCUUUUGUAGUUUAUGAUUACCCUGCAAGUGCUGAGAAAGCUAGGAGAAAACUUGAAGGUAAAUGAAUAUGUGGAGAACCAUGAACUCUUUCAUGUUAAAAAGGGCAGCCCAGAGCUGUACGUAAAUUUGGCAGAGGUGAUAGUAUUAUGAACAACAGCACAGAAGUCAGAAGGUACUCAAUUUGCGAAAGAAAACGAUGAUCAGUUGGGUUCAAAUUGUCUACGAGGAGGUUGUGGAUCCCUCAAAUGAAUAUCUUUUAGGAAAUUGGAUUGUUGACUCUUUGGCCAACAUGAAUUUUGCUAUAGUGAUGAAAGGAGUAGGAUAAACACCAUAAUGCAUCUUAUUUGAGUAGUUCACGCAUCACAAAAAAGUUUCCAGGGGGAACUUAAAUUGAUCAUCAAGUAACUCUGAAUCAUCCUGACAGUCCAACAUCCCCAAAGGCUUGCUCCAGAGUGGGUUGCAAACUGCUCAAGUAUCCCUAAGGGGUGAAGAGGCUUGCAAGGCUGCCCCAGAUAUUAAUGUUGUUCUUUUGCGGCAUCACAUAAGCCACAGGGAGCCAUCCACCUCUGAAGAAAUCGUCAAAGAUCUGUGAGACAUGGAGAUUCUUCUCCCCCAGCUUGGUUAACUCCCAUAAGUAGGAGAAAGUAUUACAUGGAGGGGAAGCAAAAUUGAAGGGAUAUUGGAAGUCUAAAUGGACAUUGCUUAAAGAAAGCUUGGGGUUUCUCUUUGUAUUCAUCCCCAGCCAGAUUACACUGCAUCAUGAUCACAGUCACCUUUAAGAUCUUCAAGUUCUUUGUUUGAUCCCUUCACAUUCAAAGUUCAAAGCAAUGCCAUCCAGGAUAGUUCCCUGUCAUCCCAUUCAACAUUUUCAACUUCACACCAUUCUGGAUCUAAAACCCCUGACUCAUGGCUGACAUCAAGGUCCAGAGUUUAAUAAAGAUUUAUCUGCAAAGGAAACACCAGUAAGAAUAGGUGCUGGUGACUUUAAACCUGAAGAUAUUACAGCCACAAUAGUAAAUUAAUGUGAAACAGGACCCUUUAAAUUGGAAAGAGGAAGAAUGAAAAAAUGCUCUCUCCCUAAAGUAUGAUGCACACUAUCAUUUUGUCUGCAGAGGAUCGGAUAAGUAUAUUGACUGUCAGAUAAUGGUGAUCAUUCUUUAGUGAAUAUGUUAUUGCACAGUGUGAAAAAGAUGAUGGACCUCAAAAUGAGGAUCUCAUGGCACAACAAACAGUGGCACCGGAGUCCAACCUCAAGGAAAUAUAAGUAGUUUUAAAACACUGCAGCGUGGAGCAUCCUGAGCAAAAUGAAAAGGAUCUAUCUGUGGAAAUUUGGUUCUACUCGCUUUUGGCCUUGGGAGAUAGUAUACUACAGGAGACUGAAAAGAGUUAUAGUUCAACUGAGAAUUAUGCACUGAGAAUAGCUUGGAAUAAAUGGAUUGUUAUUAAUCAAAGUCGAGUUAUUUAAGUUGAAUAAUCAAUUUGACAGUUCAUUGUUCAAUUAUUAGAAUUCCAAGGAUCAAACUGAGGCGAAAUUUGUAUUAAUAGAAAAUUAAAGAAUCGAAAAGCUUCUAAAACUAACAGGGUAAAUCAAGCAGGCUAAAUAUUAUGGAGUAGUUACCAAGUAAGUCCUAUGGAGAUUCUUUAUAUUUUGUUGUAUGCAAAAUAAAUGCAUUGCAUAAAUGAUUUCUGUAA